Long non-coding RNA from Cicer arietinum (chickpea), 719 nucleotides. RefSeq lists it as uncharacterized. NCBI's taxonomy places the organism in Eukaryota, Viridiplantae, Streptophyta, Magnoliopsida, Fabales, Fabaceae. The record is from RefSeq and is a predicted model, not a curated record.
AAAUAAUCGAUGUUAAUACUUAAUUAUUAAUUUGUUACAUGGAUGAAUUACACUUACCAUCUUUGAUCACUGUAACUCCCCAAAACCAACCAACCAACCACCUAAUCACUCCCCUGUGGAAAACUUGUUAAUUAUUUGAUACUGGAAUCUCGUUGCGGAAUAUUACCUUGCAACUUUAACAAUUUUGUUUUUUGCACAGUUGGAUGCGGUUUGAGACUCUGAGUCGUCCUGUCCAUUGCUUUAUCGUUUGGUUUUUAUCCAUCACUAUUUUUUGGUCAAUGACUACAUCGGUCAUCUUCUUUAUUAUUAUGUGGUCGAUCGUUCAAUGCCGGGCAACUCAAGUUGAAAGAUAAAGACAGAGUGGUGCAGAAACGAAGGCCACCAAGACUAGUAUACUACAGAAGAAGUGGAAGGAACACCCGUGCACCAAGAUAUCUCUUAAAGGGACAAGUAACGGUGAUGAUGCUCAGGAAUCAAGUUUGAAAGGAAAUGUUCAUUUUACCAUAGAAGUAUUACUAGUGCGAUUUACUCCAACAUCACAAUGAUAUUUACUACUCUCGGGUCAUGAAGGGUCCGAAGGAUCAUUACAUUCAACUAAGAAAAAACAUACUAAUACCAUAUAUUCACUUAAAACUUUAUGACAUUGGAUAUAUGGAUUCUCUCACUUAUAUAUUGUUGAACAUCCACAUUUCUAUCCAACAUGAGAUUCUUACUCACAC